RNAcentral lists this ribosomal RNA (253 nucleotides) under uncultured bacterium. RNAcentral's name for it is "partial 16S ribosomal RNA". It matches the Rfam family "Bacterial small subunit ribosomal RNA", at positions 524 to 776 of the family's 1533-position model. The record is from RNAcentral.
UACAGAGGGUGCGAGCGUUGUUCGGAAUUAUUGGGCGUAAAGGGCGCGUAGGCGGUGCGGUAAGUCACCUGUGAAAUCUCCUGGCUUAACUGGGAGCCUGCAGGCGAAACUACCGUGCUGGAGUGUGGGAGAGGUGCGUGGAAUUCCCGGUGUAGCGGUAAAAUGCGUAGAUAUCGGGAGGAACACCUGUGGCGAAAGCGGCGCACUGGACCAUAACUGACGCUGAGGCGCGAAAGCUAGGGGAGCAAACAGG